AUACGAAGGGGGCGAGCGUUGUUCGGAAUCAUUGGGUUUAAAGGGAGCGCAGGCCGGUGUGUAAGCGUGACGUCAAAUACAGCCGCUCAACGGUUGUCCGCGUCGCGAACUGCACGCCUUGAGUACGCUGCAAGUGGGCGGAAUUCGUGGUGUAGCGGUGAAAUGCUUAGAUACCACGAAGAACUCCGAUUGCGAAGGCAGCCCGCUGUUGCGUCACUGACGCUGAGGCUCGAAGGUGCGGGUAUCGAACAGGAUUAGAUACCCUGGUAGUCCGCACUGUAAACGAUGGACACCCGCUGUGUGGCCUGUUAUUGGUUGCGCGGCCAAGCGAAAGCAUUAAGUGUCCCACCUGGGGAGUACGCCGGCAACGGUGAAACUCAAAUGAAUCGGCGGGG
Molecule: ribosomal RNA, 395 nt
Filed under: uncultured bacterium
Lineage: Bacteria
Description: partial 16S ribosomal RNA
Rfam family: Bacterial small subunit ribosomal RNA
Source: RNAcentral